Molecule: ribosomal RNA, 458 nt
Filed under: uncultured bacterium
Lineage: Bacteria
Description: partial 16S ribosomal RNA
Rfam family: Bacterial small subunit ribosomal RNA
Source: RNAcentral
CCUACGGGAGGCAGCAGUGAGGAAUAUUGGUCAAUGGGCGAGAGCCUGAACCAGCCAAGUCGCGUGAGGGAGUACUGCCCUAUGGGUUGUAAACCUCUUUUGUCGGGGAGCAAAAGCCGGACGUGUCCGGCUGUGAGAGUACCCGAGGAAAAAGCAUCGGCUAACUCCGUGCCAGCAGCCGCGGUAAUACGGAGGAUGCGAGCGUUAUCCGGAUUUAUUGGGUUGAAAGGGUGCGCAGGCGGAUCUUUAAGUCAGCGGUAAAAUCGUGGGGCUCAACCCCAUCCAGCCGUUGAAACUGGGGAUCUAGAGUGUGCGAGAGGUAUGCGGAAUGCGUGGUGUAGCGGUGAAAUGCAUAGAUAUCACGCAGAACCCCGAUUGCGAAGGCAGCAUACCGGUGCACAACUGACGCUCAGGCACGAAAGCGCGGGUAUCGAACAGGAUUAGAUACCCCUGUAGUC